UUUACUUCCACAAAGGAUUCAGUGAAACUGGAUAUUAGGAAUCAUAAGAAAAUGACACCAUUGCUGGAAUCCGUCUCCAGGGCCCACCUUGGAAUAAUCCAUAAACUUAUUAUACAUGAAUGCCGAUGACAAUGAUGGCAAUAAUUGUUUGCACCUCUCCAUAAUAAAGAAAGAGAUGUUCCAUUCUGAGGUGAAAACCAUUCCCAUUUUAGAUGAGUGCUGCAAAGAGCUCCAACUGGACAUGGUUAGGAGGCUCUCUGGAAUAGUAGUUGGGAGUUAUCUUGCCAGCCAAGGAGCCAGCUUAUACCAUCGUAAUAAGAAGAAAGUGACCCCAUUGGACUACAUAAAAAAUCAACAUUUGAAA
Long non-coding RNA from Octopus sinensis (East Asian common octopus), 364 nucleotides. RefSeq lists it as uncharacterized. Lineage: Eukaryota; Metazoa; Mollusca; Cephalopoda; Octopoda; Octopodidae. The transcript has 2 exons. The record is from RefSeq and is a predicted model, not a curated record.